ACACUUGCAAGUCCAAUCAUUUGGGUUCGUUAGCUCAUAAAGUCGAGCAUUUGACUGCCCCAUCAUCGCAAUCCUCAAUUCCUUUCAAAAAAAUGUUCCAAUCCCACAUUUUCUUCCUCUUUUUCAUCUUCCCACUUGCCCUUUUGAUCCCCUCGGCUCUUGGGUUUCUUUCACAAUCUGGGUUCAAUGAUUCCCUCCCAUAUCUAUGGCCAAUGCCGUCGGAUUUCACUUUUGGAAACGCCACGCUCUCCGUUGACCCUCAGCUUUCUCUCGCCGCUGCUGGCAACGGCGGCAACUCUGAGAUUCUUAAAGCGGCUUUUGAUCGAUACAGGGAAAUCAUAUUCAAGCACGCUUCUGGGGUUUCUAUGUUUGACAAGCUUUGGGGAAGACGGAGAACAUUUGUUUAUGAUAUCAGUGAAUUGAAAAUUGUGGUUCAAUCAGAUUCUGAGGAACUUCAACUUGGUGUGGACGAGAGCUAUACAUUGUUUGUAUCGAAGAAGGAUGCUCAGUCGAUUAUUGGGGAAGCCACAAUCGAGGCAUCUACUGUUUAUGGUGCAUUGAGAGGGUUGGAGACAUUCAGUCAACUUUGUACUUUCAACUAUGAGACUAAGGAUGUACAAAUAUAUCAAGCUCCAUGGUACAUCAAAGACAAUCCAAGAUUCGCAUUUCGUGGGCUUCUCAUUGAUACUUCAAGGCACUUUCUACCAGUAGAUGUAAUGAAGAAUAUCAUUGAAUCGAUGUCUUAUGCUAAACUUAAUGUUCUUCAUUGGCACAUAGUAGAUGGGGAAUCAUUUCCUCUAGAAGUACCUUCAUAUCCAAAUCUGUGGAGAGGAGCAUAUACAAAACACGAGCGUUAUACCAUUGAGGAUGCUUAUGAAAUUGUCACCUUCGCCAAAAUGCGGGGCAUCAAUGUUAUGGCAGAGGUGGAUGUCCCAGGACAUGCUGAAUCUUGGGGGGUUGGAUAUCCAGAUCUAUGGCCUUCUCCGUCAUGUAAAGAACCACUUGAUGUUACAAAAAAUUUUACUUUUGAUUUGAUUUCCGGUAUAUUGACAGAUUUGAGAAAAAUUUUCCCAUUCGAGCUCUUCCACUUGGGUGGUGAUGAAGUAAAUACAAGUUGCUGGGAGACUAUUCCGCACGUGAAACAGUGGCUUUUGGAUCAGAACAUGACUACUAAAGAUGCAUAUGAAUAUUUCGUGCUUAGAGCUCAAGAAAUUGCAAUUUCUAAAAAUUGGACCCCUGUAAAUUGGGAGGAACCAUUCAUUUCCUUUGAAAAAGGUUUGAAUCCUAGGACGAUAGUGCAUAAUUGGUUGCAUGGUGAUGUUUGUCCCAAGGCUGUUGCGGAUGGUUUCAGAUGCAUUUUUAGUGAUCAAGGCGUUUGGUAUCUCGACCAUUUAGAUGUGCCGUGGGAUCGUGCAUACCAUGCUGAUCCCCUUAAAGGAAUAUCAGAUCCUUCUCAACAAAAGCUUAUUAUUGGAGGAGAAGUUUGCAUGUGGGGUGAGACUGCCGAUGCAUCAAACAUCCAGCAAACGAUAUGGCCUCGAGCUGCUACAGCUGCAGAGAGGCUAUGGAGUAAGAAUGAGACAGUCUCAGGAAAUGUCACCUUGUCGGUACUACCGCGCUUGAGUUACUUCAGGUGCCUCCUGAACAGGCGCGGAGUUGAGGCUGCUCCAGUCAAGAACUUCUAUGCUCGAAGACCUCCCACCGGUCCAGGAUCAUGUUAUGACCAAUAAUAAUAUUCAGGAUGACUUGGGAGUAAUACUGUAGUUUCUACCAGAAUUAUCGAUUUUGGAUUAGAUACUCCAAGGUCAUUUUUUUGGUAUUAGACAGGACGGUGUCGUUUUCACUCACUACUAAGAGGAACACACAAAUUUCAGAGAAUGAACCAAAGACGAAAACGUGUGGCAGACAAUGGCGUGGUCCAGAGAGUCGGACGACAAGCAUUGAUGUUGGUAGCAAAACUAUUGAACAAAAAGGGGAAGACAUCGUGAAGGUUGAACAUAAAGAGAGAAAAGAUUGAGAACAAGGAAACAAUGUAUUUAACCAACGCAUCAUAUUUUCAAUAGUCAACUAAGAUUCAAAGGAGUUUAACAACUA
Molecule: RNA transcript, 2094 nt
Organism: Benincasa hispida (wax gourd)
Lineage: Eukaryota; Viridiplantae; Streptophyta; Magnoliopsida; Cucurbitales; Cucurbitaceae
Gene: HEXO1
Gene name: beta-hexosaminidase 1
Source: RefSeq, a predicted model, not a curated record